UACAGGGGGUGCUAGCGUUGUUCGGAAUUACUGGGCGUAAAGGGCGCGUAGGCGGUUUUGUAAGUCAGGAGUGAAAUCCCGGAGCUUAACUUCGGAAUUGCUUUUGAAACUACAAGGCUAGAGUGAGUUAGAGGAUGGCGGAAUUCCUAGCGUAGUGGUGAAAUACGUAGAUAUUAGGAAGAACACCGGUGGCGAAGGCGGCCAUCUGGGACUCAACUGACGCUGAGGCGCGAAAGCGUGGGGAUCAAACAGG
This 253-nucleotide ribosomal RNA is filed under the name uncultured bacterium. Its description in RNAcentral is "partial 16S ribosomal RNA". It matches the Rfam family "Bacterial small subunit ribosomal RNA", at positions 524 to 776 of the family's 1533-position model. The record is from RNAcentral.